CGUCCGUCGUGGAGAGGGAAACAACCCAGACCGCCAGCUAAGGUCCCCAAGUCUAUAUUAAGUGGGAAACGAAGUGGGAAGGCUUAGACAGCUAGGAUGUUGGCUUAGAAGCAGCCAUCAUUUAAAGAAAGCGUAAUAGCUCACUAGUCGAGUCGGCCUGCGCGGAAGAUGUAACGGGGCUGAAAUAUAGCACCGAAGCUGCGGCAUCAGGCGUAUCACUAAUACGCCUUACGAUUAACAAGCUAGAAUGGUGCGAAGCGACAUGAAAGGUUGUUCAAGCAACCCGAACGUUGAGUCGGGCAUCUUAGAGUGAGGAUUAUUAGUGAUACGCCUGUUGGGUAGGGGAGCGUUGUGUAAGCGGAAGAAGGUUCAUUGAGAGGUGGGCUGGACGUAUCACAAGUGCGAAUGCUGACAUAAGUAACGAUAAAACGGGUGAAAAACCCGUUCGCCGGAAGACCAAGGGUUCCUGUCCAACGUUAAUCGGGGCAGGGUGAGUCGGCUCCUAAGGCGAGGCUGAAAAGCGUAGUCGAUGGGAAACAGGUUAAUAUUCCUGUACUUGGUAAAGCUGCGAUGUGGGGACGGAGUAGGUUAGGUUAUCGCACUGUUGGAUAUGUGCGUUUAAGUUGGUAGGUGGGAAGUUUAGGCAAAUCCGGACUUCCUUAACACAGAGAGAUGAUGACGAGGCUCUACGGAGCUGAAGUAACUGAUACCACACUUCCAGGAAAAGCCACUAAGCGAAAGGCUUUACUAAACCGUACUGAAAACCGACACAGGUGGUCAGGUAGAGAAUACUCAGGCGCUUGAGAGAACUCGGGUGAAGGAACUAGGCAAAAUAGCACCGUAACUUCGGGAGAAGGUGCGCCGGCGUAGAUUGUAAGGGCUAGCCCCUGAAGGUUGAACCGGUCGAAGAUACCAGCUGGCUGCAACUGUUUAUUAAAAACACAGCACUCUGCAAACACGAAAGUGGACGUAUAGGGUGUGAUGCCUGCCCGGUGCUGGAAGGUUAAUUGAUGGUGUAAUCGCAAGAGAAGCACCUGAUCGAAGCCCCAGUAAACGGCGGCCGUAACUAUAACGGUCCUAAGGUAGCGAAAUUCCUUGUCGGGUAAGUUCCGACCUGCACGAAUGGCAUAAUGAUGGCCAGGCUGUCUCCACCCGAGACUCAGUGAAAUUGAAAUCGCCGUGAAGAUGCGGUGUACCCGCGGCUAGACGGAAAGACCCCGUGAACCUUUACUAUAGCUUGACACUGAACAUUGAAUUUUGAUGUGUAGGAUAGGUGGGAGCCUUUGAAGCAGUGACGCCAGUCAUUGUGGAGGCGACCUUGAAAUACCACCCUUUAACGUUUGAUGUUCUAACGAAGAUGACGAAACGUGGUCUCGGACAGUGUCUGGUGGGUAGUUUGACUGGGGCGGUCUCCUCCCAAAGCGUAACGGAGGAGCACGAAGGUUUGCUAAUCACGGUCGGACAUCGUGAGGUUAGUGCAAUGGUAUAAGCAAGCUUAACUGCGAGACAGACAAGUCGAGCAGGUACGAAAGUAGGUCAUAGUGAUCCGGUGGUUCUGAAUGGAAGGGCCAUCGCUCAACGGAUAAAAGGUACUCCGGGGAUAACAGGCUGAUACCGCCCAAGAGUUCAUAUCGACGGCGGUGUUUGGCACCUCGAUGUCGGCUCAUCACAUCCUGGGGCUGAAGUAGGUCCCAAGGGUAUGGCUGUUCGCCAUUUAAAGUGGUACGCGAGCUGGGUUUAGAACGUCGUGAGACAGUUCGGUCCCUAUCUGCCGUGGGCGUAGGAGAAUUGGUUGGGGCUGCUCCUAGUACGAGAGGACCGGAGUGGACGCACCACUGGUGUUCCGGUUGUGUCGCCAGACGCAUUGCCGGGUAGCUAAGUGCGGAAGAGAUAAGUGCUGAAAGCAUCUAAGCACGAAACUUGCCAAGAGAUGAGUUCUCCCAAUCUAAGAGAUAGUAAGGGUUGUUGUAGACUACGACGUAGAUAGGUCUGGUGUGUAAGUGUAGUGAUACAUUGAGCUAACAGAUACUAAUUGCCCGAGAGGCUUAACUAU
Molecule: ribosomal RNA, 2053 nt
Filed under: Haemophilus influenzae
Lineage: Bacteria; Pseudomonadati; Pseudomonadota; Gammaproteobacteria; Pasteurellales; Pasteurellaceae
Description: bacterial LSU rRNA
Rfam family: Bacterial large subunit ribosomal RNA
Source: RNAcentral